RNAcentral lists this transfer RNA (88 nucleotides) under Betaproteobacteria bacterium. RNAcentral describes it as "tRNA-Ser". It matches the Rfam family "tRNA". Rfam says of the family: Transfer RNA (tRNA) molecules are approximately 80 nucleotides in length. Their secondary structure includes four short double-helical elements and three loops (D, anti-codon, and T loops). Lineage: Bacteria; Pseudomonadati; Pseudomonadota; Betaproteobacteria. The record is from RNAcentral.
GGAGAGUUGGCAGAGCGGUCGAAUGCGGCGGUCUUGAAAACCGCUAGUCCGAAAGGGCUCGGGGGUUCGAAUCCCUCACUCUCCGCCA